This 106-nucleotide small RNA is filed under the name Marmota monax (woodchuck). Lineage: Eukaryota; Metazoa; Chordata; Mammalia; Rodentia; Sciuridae. The record is from RNAcentral.
GUUGGAUGUGGUGGCACAUGCCUAUAAUCCCAGCUACUUGGGAGGCAGAGGCAGGUGGAUCACAAGUUUGAGGCCAGCCUUGGCAACUAGUGAAAUCCUGUCUCAA